AUACGGAGGGUGCAAGCGUUAAUCGGAAUUACUGGGCGUAAAGAGUACGUAGGUGGUUUAUUAAGUCAGAUGUGAAAGCCCCGGGCUUAACCUGGGAACUGCAUUUGAUACUGGCAAACUAGAGUAUGGUAGAGGCGGGUAGAAUUCCUAGUGUAGCGGUGAAAUGCGUAGAUAUUAGGAGGAAUACCAGUGGCGAAGGCGGCCCCCUGGACCAAUACUGACGCUGAGGUACGAAAGCGUGGGGAGCGAACAGGAUUAGAUACCCCGGUAGUCC
RNAcentral lists this ribosomal RNA (274 nucleotides) under uncultured bacterium. RNAcentral's name for it is "partial 16S ribosomal RNA". It matches the Rfam family "Bacterial small subunit ribosomal RNA", at positions 523 to 796 of the family's 1533-position model. The record is from RNAcentral.